AUGGAUGUGAGGGUGGGUUGUCCUGCAUUCUGGAAUCUGAUUUAGACCAUCUUUGUAUCUACUAGUAGUAUAUAUGUUGCUUAGUCCUGCUAUGAUUUUGAUUACUUUUGAUUUUGGUAGUUCUUGAGCCAUAAUUGGUAAUAUUUGCAUUCCUUGCCUAAUCAAUUUCUGUUCCUUGUUUUCCAUGGCUCGUCUAGGGAAACUAAUAUGCUGAUCUUAAUUUGUGAUCUAUAUACAAAUCCCAUUUGAUUAGGUAUGCACAUCAGAAGAUUCAU
RNAcentral lists this unclassified non-coding RNA (275 nucleotides) under Hevea brasiliensis (rubber tree). The record is from RNAcentral. Lineage: Eukaryota; Viridiplantae; Streptophyta; Magnoliopsida; Malpighiales; Euphorbiaceae.